RNA transcript from Chrysochloris asiatica (Cape golden mole), 694 nucleotides. It is a transcript of the gene named docking protein 6 pseudogene, with no coding region annotated. Lineage: Eukaryota; Metazoa; Chordata; Mammalia; Afrosoricida; Chrysochloridae. The transcript has a single exon. The record is from RefSeq and is a predicted model, not a curated record.
CUUCCAGUGAAGGACUCAGAAGGCUAGAAACGUUUCCAGAUGAAAAGGCAGCAUAUUUCAGAAACUUCCAUAAGGUGACUGAACUGCAUAACAUCAAAAGCAUAACCAGACUGCCUCGAGAGAGAAAGAUGCAUGCAGUAGCAAUUAUAUUUCAUGAUGAAACAUUGAAGACAUUUGCCUGUGAAUCAGAGCUGAAGGCCGAGGAAUGAUGCAAACAUCUCUGCAUGGAGUGUCUGGGGACCAGGCUGAACGACAUCCUGAGAAGCCGGACCUGCUGGCCUCAGGCGUACAGCGCAAGCAGAACGAACGUUUCAACGUGUGCCUCAUGCCUACAUACAAUCUGGAUAUUUAUGGUGCAUGUACAAUGCAGAUCACUCAUGAGAAUAUCUAUCUCUGGGAUAUCCACAAUGCCAAGGUCAAGCUGGUGAUGUGGCCCCUCAGCUCAUUGAGGAGAUACAGUCGGGACUCAACAUGGUUCACAUUUGAGUCUGGAAGAAUGUGUGACACGGGAGAAGAACUGUUCACCAUUCAAACAAGAAAAGGAGAGAUGAUGUAUCAGAAGGUCCAUUCUGCAACACAGGCCAUAGCUGAGCAACAUGAAAGAUUGAUGCAGGAAAUGGAACAGAAUGCCCAGGAUAAACAAGAGCUAUUCUACAAGAAUUUUGUUGGAAAAACUUACCCAUUAGCCCUAUAG